CGGAUUUUGGAGUGGUCGCCCUUGGGAAGUCCAUCUACAUCCUGGGCGGCUUCGACAAAGUUCAAGGUCGUUGUUUGACCCGAGUCGUCAGAUACAACCCGUGUACCGACGAAUGGUUCGAAUGUCGAAGCAUGUCUGUGGCCAGAUGUAAAUUUGGGGUCUGUGUUGUUAAAGGGAGAAUAUUUGUCUGUGGUGGAGAGACCGACGAUGGUAAAGUCACCGGAAGUUGUGAGAUCUAUGACCCGGAAACUAACCUCUGGUCCAAAUGCGGAUCUCUCGUGUCGCCUCGGUCUGGCUGCGCAUGCGCAAACAACGGCAAAGAGUUAAUUUGUGCAGGAGGAUACAACGGAGGGAAGGCUCAUAACAACCUCUGGCUGUAUGACAAACACAAAUGGCAGGAAAUCGGCAAAAAUAACCCACACGUCCUUCCAUACAAUCUUCACAGAUGUGCGCUGACAAAGG
Physella acuta is the source of this 462-nucleotide long non-coding RNA. RefSeq lists it as uncharacterized. The record is from RefSeq and is a predicted model, not a curated record. Lineage: Eukaryota; Metazoa; Mollusca; Gastropoda; Physidae.